RNAcentral lists this long non-coding RNA (520 nucleotides) under Brassica napus (rape). RNAcentral describes it as "long non-coding RNA (BNAP_LNC011048)". The record is from RNAcentral. Lineage: Eukaryota; Viridiplantae; Streptophyta; Magnoliopsida; Brassicales; Brassicaceae.
UGAUUUGAGAUUCGCAGUACAAAGAUCUAACAGCUUCAGCGACAACCAGACUUCUAACCUUAUGUCAAUGAAGCGCGAGUGCCGAAGAGGGGGGGAGGGAGUCUUAAUCGGACGACGAAGGGGACGGAGCCGGGAAGCUCCUUUCAACCGAGGAGAAUGAAAAAGAAAGGAGAAAGGUGAAGGACACGCGUGAAGGACAUACCACUCAAAGACGAAAAUUCGCAGUUUAUUUUCUAUUGGUUGAAAUAUAAUUGGUUGUAUAAAUAAUAAUAUUCUUAUAAAAAACAAACUUAAAUAUUUACUUAAUUUUUAUAUAUAAAGUGACAUUUAAAUUGAAACAGAAAAAAUAUACUUAAGGUAACAAAAUUGCAACGUAACAUAUAUAUGCAUUCAAAUUACGUAUAAACUACAUGAUACAUAGCAUAAUAGUAUAAAUCUUUAUUUUUUCUAUCGAGAAAACAACCAUUGAAACCUUGAACUUUCAAAUUAAAGCCAAAAAAGCCUUGAACACAUGUUUGAA